GCAUAUGAGUGCUGUUUUUUCACAUUAGUAAUUAAAAGGGUUUAGCAGUUUACUUGAAAGUGGCUAAGCUUAAGUUUUUCAUUAGAUAUGUUGAUGAUAUCAUCACAAUAUGGGAAGAUGAGACUGCAAUGGAUGAUCUUAUAGAAGCAUUGUCACCUUUGGCCUUUCCCUUAAGAAGAACCAAGUCAGCAAACGGGAAGUACAUUUUCUUGAUAUUGGCAUAAAACUUGAAAACGACGGAUAAGGACCAUGGUUUACAGAAAACCAUCUUAUGAGCCUGUCAUAAUCCCUAGUUGGUCUGAUGAUCUUCUAACAUGGUGUUUAGAAUUUUCUUCAAAAAGGCUGAAGUUUAUACCACCAAACAAAAGAACCUGAAAACAGGAGAUUGAUUAUAUCUAUGAUAUAGGAUACAGGCACAGGUAUGGAAGAAAGUUUUUGAAGCACAUCCAUAAAUCUGUACAAAGAAAUCUACAGGAAUGAUGCACCAAAGAAAGCCUGACAGCAGCAAGAUCUGACUUUAUACCAAUACCAUACACCUUUAACAUGAUAACAUUUGCCAGAAAAGUAGCUAAUAAGGCAGAGAAAAGAAUAGCAGUUAGUAGGGCUCCAACACCGUUUGGUAGACUCAGAAAUGAGAAGCAUCCAAGGGAAAAGCAUGAGAAAUCAUGGGUGUAUAGGAUACCAGUUACGAAUCAGGAGACAAAAGAACAAGCUGCUUAUAUUGGAAUGACUAAUAGAACUCUAGCCCAAUGUUUACAAGAGCAUAAAAGUGAUAUAGCUAAGUCCAAAUUAACAACAACUCUUGCAAUGCAGGAAUACAAUUUUGACAUUAGUAUGCAUUGAGACCAAGCUAGGGUCAUAAAAACCAGUUAAUGCUAACUCCUAAACAUUGACCACUAAAAACCUUAGAGAUUUUAAAAAGGCAAGAUGCAAAAUGACUCCUCAAUGAUCGCCUAGGGACCCAAGUAUCCAUGGCCUGGAAAUACCUGCUGGAAGAAUGGAAAAGGAACCACAGGAGUAGGCUAGACAUCCAUCAUGCUGAACAAACACCUCAUGGACAGCGGGAGAAAGAUCCCCGUAAGCUAAUUUAAAAGGCAAGCACUAACCUCUUGAAAUAUUAUUUGGAAGGCAUGUUACUUAAGUGCAUUUUCUGCCUAACAGAAUCCUAUAUGAAGGUUAUGCACUCCACUGUUAAUAGCCUUUUAGUAUAUUAUAGGCUUUUAAUAUUUUGUUUUUUUGUU
RNAcentral lists this long non-coding RNA (1241 nucleotides) under Androctonus crassicauda. Lineage: Eukaryota; Metazoa; Arthropoda; Arachnida; Scorpiones; Buthidae. The record is from RNAcentral.